Molecule: ribosomal RNA, 274 nt
Filed under: uncultured bacterium
Lineage: Bacteria
Description: partial 16S ribosomal RNA
Rfam family: Bacterial small subunit ribosomal RNA
Source: RNAcentral
AUACGGAGGGUGCGAGCGUUAAUCGGAAUUACUGGGCGUAAAGCGUACGUAGGCGGUCCGUUAAGUUAGAUGUGAAAGCCCCGGGCUUAACCUGGGAACUGCAUUUAAAACUGGCGGACUAGAGUUGAGUAGAGGGGAGUGGAAUUUCAGGUGUAGCGGUGAAAUGCGUAGAGAUCUGAAGGAACACCAGUGGCGAAGGCGACUCCCUGGACUCGAACUGACGCUGAGGUACGAAAGCGUGGGUAGCAAACGGGAUUAGAAACCCCAGUAGUCC